AGAGGUGUUGGUGUGAGCGCAAAGUCAGAUCGUCAUGUAUCCUGAGGAGUGAAGCCAAUAUACAUGAAAGCUGUUUGUACACAUGGCACCCGUGUGUGAUCCUAGUGGGAGGACUGUAAUGGAGACAUGUUAUGUUAAUAUAUGGAAAAUAUUCUCAUUCAGAAAACUUUAGAUUUAGACUAAACAGUGAAUAUGGUUACCAUUCAAACAUUAGCUGUAGCUUCAGCUAUCAAGCAGGUUGUACUGUGUUUGGUCUGAAAGCACCAGCAGAGCCCUUUUGCUUUUUACCAUUUACAAGAUUCAAAUAAUUAUUAAGGAGUUUUUAUUUUUGAUCGUUUAAGUUUAGAAUUUUAGUAUCAGUGCUCUCUAUUACAGUGUCAGAAAAGCCCCUGAAUGCACCAUCAUGUUUACUUCCUGUCCCGAUAAUUAUUGACCUACAAACCCAGCAUGUUGUCAAUGACAUUAACACACACACACACACACACACACACACACACACACACACACACACACACACACACACACACACACACACACAGAAGCAGCUGAGAUGACACCAACUGCAGCAGCAGCAGCAGUGUGGCUGCUCUGUGGUGGAGGAGGUUGUGGGAUUGAGGUGUUGUGGUGGGGGGUGGGUGGGCGGGGCUUCAUGGCAGACCCAUCCAGCCUGGAGAGCAGAGUUUCCUAUUUUUACCCCCACUCAACACCCUCAUAUCACAACAGCUGUCCCCACAGCUCUUGUCAGUCUCUGUCAGGAAUAACCGUCCAAUCAGAUCGCUCCCCCCUCCUCGGCCCGGUCGGUUCUCUCUCCAUUCUGUGCGUCUCGAGCCCCUCGAUCAGAUCUCCUGCACUUUGGACAGUUUUUUGAACUCAUCGCUGAUUCGAGUGGAUUCAGGAGUUGUGGAAUUACUUCACUGACAGCUCGCCUACAUCUCCUUCUCCUUCUCCUCCUCCUCCUCCUCCUCUUCCUCCUCCUGCUGUGAUCUGAUCCAUCACAGCCCAUGACAGCAGAUCAAACAACAUGGCAUUUUCAUCGCGCUUUUCAUUCUGGGAGUCAAAGGGAAGUCUCAUUUGGACUUUUUUUUAAAACUCCAACACUGCAUGGUGUUAGAGUGUUUUAACUAACAUGUGUGUCCAUAGAUUCCUCUGUACCGGUAUGACACUAGAAGACGUGAUCGCUUUCACUCGUAAUUAUAAGCACACAUUCACUAACCAAUUUGCUGUGACUUGGCACCAAACAUGCAAUUGGCCGGACACUUACCAAGUGCACUUCCAAUUCAAUGACAGUUUUCAUUUCAAGAUAUUUAAACAGUAGGACAUUUUGUAUCCAAGGUUCUUUGUAGGGAAAAUAUAAUCUUGAUGCAGAAGAUAAGCAUGCUUUUGACUUGCAUGGUGUGUGAUGGACAACAACCAUAUAAGGUGUUCAGAUUUUGAUCUGGUUUUCUUUUUUAUAUUAUCGUAUUUAGAUCAAAGAGGAGAAUACUCCAGAAUCUAAAAGUCCAGAAAGUGAUGGGUCACUCAGCAGGGCCAAAUCAGUACCAGCUCUAGACCCUGGCCGGGGGUUAUUCCGGGCAAAAAGUCCCCCAACAGUUUCUCCCACGGAGUCACUAGCCCGGGUCAGGAGUCCCUCCCCACC
Molecule: long non-coding RNA, 1636 nt
Organism: Labrus mixtus (cuckoo wrasse)
Lineage: Eukaryota; Metazoa; Chordata; Actinopteri; Labriformes; Labridae
Exons: 3
Source: RefSeq, a predicted model, not a curated record